CUAAAUCUGGAGCAAGUGAACUAAUCAGCUCCAGGAGAUUUCUUCACGCCAGAUGAUCGGCGACGGAGGAUGGAGCGUCCCGCGCACAAUGCGCUUGAAGACACCACUGGUGCGAUUUUCUUCUUCUGCUUCUUCUCCACUGCAGCCUCCUUCUCCUUAGCCUCCUCCGCAGCCUCCUUUGCCUCCUUCUCCGCAGCCUGUCUCUUCUUGGCUUCUAAAGGAUCUUGGGGUGGUGGUCUCGAGUAAUCCACACCAGUCAUGCGCUGCCGGUCCUCAAACUCGUUCGGCGGGCUCUCAAUCUCACGGGUAGAUGAAGAUCUGAGCCUAGGUGCAGCUGGUGGCUUUGUCCUGGAAGAGCAAAGUAUGGAAAUAAUAAUGG
This 379-nucleotide long non-coding RNA is filed under the name Setaria italica (foxtail millet). RNAcentral's name for it is "long non-coding RNA (SITA_LNC001935)". The record is from RNAcentral. Lineage: Eukaryota; Viridiplantae; Streptophyta; Magnoliopsida; Poales; Poaceae.